AUUUUGGACUAUGGGGGAAACCCUGAUCCAGCCACCCCGCGUGUAUGAUGAAGGCCUUCGGGUUGUAAAUUACUUUUGGCAGAGAAGAAAAGGUAUCUCCUAAUACUAGAUACUGCUGACGGUAUCUGCAGAAUAAGCACCGGCUAACUACGUGCCAGCAGCCGCGGUAAUACGUAGAGUGCAAGCGUUAACCGGAAUUACUGGGCGUAAAGCGUGUAUAGGCGGUUCGGAAAGAAAGAUGUGAAAUCCCAGGGCUCAACCUUGGAACUGCAUUUCUAACUGCCGAGAUAGAGUAUGACAGAGGGGGGUAGAAUUCCACGUGUAGCAGUGAAAUGCGUAGAUAUGUGGAGGAAUACCGAUGGCGAAGGCAGCCCCCUGGGAUAAUACUGACGCUCAGACACGAAAGCGUGGGGAGCAAACA
RNAcentral lists this ribosomal RNA (421 nucleotides) under uncultured bacterium. Its description in RNAcentral is "partial 16S ribosomal RNA". It matches the Rfam family "Bacterial small subunit ribosomal RNA", at positions 361 to 774 of the family's 1533-position model. The record is from RNAcentral.